UGGGAUCUGACCCAGUAGGAGUGAC
RNAcentral lists this non-coding RNA (25 nucleotides) under Mus musculus (house mouse). The record is from RNAcentral. Lineage: Eukaryota; Metazoa; Chordata; Mammalia; Rodentia; Muridae.